CCGUGACGUUUCGUCGAAAAAUCACAAGCGCGCAUGCCGUAGGUGUUUGCCUGGUUGCAAGAUCUUGCCGAUUUCAACGUUUUUCCACCUCUUCGGUAAGUACUUGACAUGCCUGGAUUACUGCAAUCAGCACGUUCUUAGCACUUUCUUCUUUGGCUCCCCACCGCGCGCAGGUUGGCGUACGCUGAACUGAACCCUCGCAGCAAGAAUGGCACGUUGGAGUAAGUUUUAUUUGUGACGCGAUUUGGUUUAUCUUCCGCAGAAACUGUUAAGCUCACAAUGCUGAUAUGUUGUUGUUGUCGGCCACGUGUGUAGAUUGACACCGCGAUCGUGGAACACAUGGCUGAUCUGCCUCGAAUAACUGCAAGCCGGCGCGUGCGUAGUGCCGUGGAGAACGAUCAGAAGUCCUGGACGACAAAGAAAAAAACUUCAAAGCUGCUUCUAGUAGUGGUGCCCCUGGUGUGCACCUUUACCCCAAAUGUCUGCACCUUUGCCUACCGCUGCCUCUGCGAGCCCU
Long non-coding RNA from Rhipicephalus sanguineus (brown dog tick), 517 nucleotides. RefSeq lists it as uncharacterized. Lineage: Eukaryota; Metazoa; Arthropoda; Arachnida; Ixodida; Ixodidae. The record is from RefSeq and is a predicted model, not a curated record. The transcript is spliced from 3 exons.